GACUACAGGGGUAUCUAAGCCUGUUUGCUCCCCACGCUUUCGUCUCUCAGUGUCAGGAACGAGCCAGAAACCUGCCUUCGCCAUUGGUGUUCCUCACGAUAUCUACGCAUUUCACUGCUACACCGUGAAUUCCAGUUUCCUCUCUCGCACUCAAUCCCGACAGUAUUUCGUGCAGUUUUUCCGUUAAGCGGAAAGAUUUCACACGAAACUAAUCGGGACACCUACAGGCGCUUUACACCUAGUAAUUCCGAACAACGCUCGCACCCUACAUAUUACCGCGGCUGCUGGCACGUAGUUGGCCGGUGCUUAUUCACAGAGUACCAUCAUCCCUUGCGGGUUUUGUCCCCUGUAAAAGAAGUUUACAAUCCGAAGGCUGUCAUCCUUCACGCGGCGUCGCUGCAUCAGGCUUUCGCCCAUUGUGCAAUAUUCCCCACUGCUGCCCCCCGUAGG
RNAcentral lists this ribosomal RNA (450 nucleotides) under uncultured bacterium. Its description in RNAcentral is "partial 16S ribosomal RNA". The record is from RNAcentral.